GAGACCUUCAAGGGAAUUGAGGGGGCUCCUAUGAAUGAGGCCAAUGCCGUGUGCAGGGAAGGAAGGCCUUCGGGUUGUAAACUGCUUUUGUACGGAACGAAACGGUCUGGGUUAAUACCCUGGGCUAAUGACGGUACCGUAAGAAUAAGCACCGGCUAACUACGUGCCAGCAGCCGCGGUAAUACGUAGGGUGCAAGCGUUAAUCGGAAUUACUGGGCGUAAAGCGUGCGCAGGCGGUUUUGUAAGACAGGCGUGAAAUCCCCGGGCUCAACCUGGGAAUUGCGCUUGUGACUGCAAGGCUGGAGUGCGGCAGAGGGGGAUGGAAUUCCGCGUGUAGCAGUGAAAUGCGUAGAUAUGCGGAGGAACACCGAUGGCGAAGGCAAUCCCCUGGGCCUGCACUGACGCUCAUGCACGAAAGCGUGGGGAGCAAACAGGAUUAGAUACCCUGGUAGUCCACGCCCUAAACGAUGUCAACUGGUUGUUGGGAAUUUACUUUCUCAGUAACGAAGCUAACGCGUGAAGUUGACCGCCUGGGGAGUACGGCCGCAAGGUUGAAACUCAAAGGAU
Molecule: ribosomal RNA, 567 nt
Filed under: uncultured bacterium
Lineage: Bacteria
Description: bacterial SSU rRNA
Rfam family: Bacterial small subunit ribosomal RNA
Source: RNAcentral